Molecule: ribosomal RNA, 253 nt
Filed under: uncultured bacterium
Lineage: Bacteria
Description: partial 16S ribosomal RNA
Rfam family: Bacterial small subunit ribosomal RNA
Source: RNAcentral
GACAGAGGGUGCAAACGUUGUUCGGAAUUACUGGGCGUAAAGCGCGUGUAGGCGGCCCUGCAAGUCGGGUGUGAAAUCCCACGGCUCAACCGUGGAAGUGCACUCGAAACUGCAGGGCUAGAGUCCUGGAGAGGAAGGUGGAAUGCUUGGUGUAGAGGUGAAAUUCGUAGAUAUCAGGAGGAACACCGGUGGCGAAGGCGGGUCUCUGGGCAACAACUGACGCUGAUGAGCGAAAGCCAGGGGAGCAAACGGG